RNAcentral lists this transfer RNA (93 nucleotides) under Burkholderiales bacterium. Its description in RNAcentral is "tRNA-Ser". It matches the Rfam family "tRNA". Rfam says of the family: Transfer RNA (tRNA) molecules are approximately 80 nucleotides in length. Their secondary structure includes four short double-helical elements and three loops (D, anti-codon, and T loops). Further hydrogen bonds mediate the characteristic L-shaped molecular structure. tRNAs have two regions of fundamental functional importance: the anti-codon, which is responsible for specific mRNA codon recognition, and the 3' end, to which the tRNAs corresponding amino acid is attached (by aminoacyl-tRNA synthetases). tRNAs cope with the degeneracy of the genetic code in two manners: having more than one tRNA (with a specific anti-codon) for a particular amino acid; and 'wobble' base-pairing, i.e. permitting non-standard base-pairing at the 3rd anti-codon position. Lineage: Bacteria; Pseudomonadati; Pseudomonadota; Betaproteobacteria; Burkholderiales. RNAcentral also lists the same sequence under 3 other names. The record is from RNAcentral.
GGAGAGGUACCGAAGCGGUCAUAACGGCGCCGACUCGAAAUCGGAUGGUCAGGGAAACCUGGCACGUGGGUUCGAAUCCCACCCUCUCCGCCA